Molecule: long non-coding RNA, 3173 nt
Organism: Dromaius novaehollandiae (emu)
Lineage: Eukaryota; Metazoa; Chordata; Aves; Casuariiformes; Dromaiidae
Exons: 3
Source: RefSeq, a predicted model, not a curated record
AGGCCAAGGACGUGGCUUGGCCAGGCCUCAAGGGCGAAGGGCGCUGGCACAAACCCUCGCAGGCUCCUGCAGCCGCAGGCCGUGGAGGGGUGGAGGAGGGCAGGACAGACAGCUCUUCCUGCCAGCCUGGCGCGGAGCAGCAGGCAACACCGCAGUGAUGGCACUCUGCCUCAUCGGGGCAGCUGCCGAUUUGGGAGCAAUUUUCCGAAUACAGCUGGGGCAGCUUCUCUGUACUAGGGAGAAAUAUCUGUAGGCCAAAUAAGGGACUUUUUUCGUCUUCCUUUCCUAUACGGUGUCAGGUUGUGGAUCUUUGGCAGGACCCACAGCUGACUGUGCAGCCUCCAGGAGGUGAAACCAGUCCAGCCGAAAGCAGAGGGACAAACGGCACACAACGGCCACGUAAAUCAAAGCGCAAGCCGACCAGAAAGAGAACGCGAAGUCUAACAAGUUUAUCCCUGGAUGAGAUGAUUCGUGCCCUGGAAGCACCUGUUUCUCUCCCCCAACUCAGAUGCUGUCCACUUUUCGCUGGAGGACUCCGUCUCCAAGACACUAGGAUGCCUGGACAGGCAGAGAGCCCAGGAGGACAGGAGCAGCCCCCCAGCUUUCCAGAGGAGAGAACAUGCAGUGGAAACUAUUACAGGGGCAUCCUACGGAAGUGCCGGGAGGCCUCCGCCCGAGCGCCGCGUUCGUCCUGAUCCCUGCCCCUCGCGGAGGCAGCGCAGAGGGCAACGGGAGAUGCUCACACGGCCAAAGCGGUGGCGAUGGCAGUCGAGAGGGGAAGGUGGUGCUUGUGACUCUGCUCCGUACCCUUCAACCAGACAUUUACUGUCUCUGUGCUUGGGUUUUGACCCAGAUAAAGUGGAAAUCCCCAGGAAGCUAGGAGGUUUGAUAGGGGGUACCUGAGGUAUUUCAGAGGUUCUCGUAGGAAGUGUUUUCCAUGAAAUUACUGUAUGAGAAGAAAAAAUUAAUAUAAGAAGAAGGUUAGGAAAACAUUUAAAGAAAGGCAUGGUAAUAAAUAGCCCUUACUUUGUACUCGUCUCCAUGCCACAUAAAGUACAAGCUACUAGGCUACUCCUCGAGAGCACCAAUAUCUGGCUAUGGUUUUUUGCAGUUAUACAAGCAAAAAUACAUGGAUAGUCUUCUCCCAUAAGUGUUCCUCCAAGGGGAAAGCAAGAAAGUUAGCGAAUGAAUUAUAUUAGAUGAUUUACCUGCCAAACCAUCUCUCUUCUUCCAACCACAGCACUACACAAUUGGUUUCCACUCUCUCCCAGUGGCCUUGAAAACAUCAUCACCCUGAGGAGCAGACUGUUCCGAGCUGAGGUUUGUACACCUCAGUCUACAAAAAUAAGCUGGAGUUCUUACAGAGGAAGGCACUUCUAUGUAAUUUCUGACAUAUCCCUUUUUUGAUUCGUGGGUAAGAAGCAUUAAAACAGCGUGAUGUCUUUUACUCCUUAAAACACAUGAAGCAGCUCUUGAAAGGAGAAAGACAUGAAAAAUAAUCCUGUGAUUCUUACAAGGACUAUUUAUCCUUCAACUCAAUAAAUUAGAAGUAGUACCAGUGCCAAUUAUUGCUGUACACCCAGCUAGAACUAAUGUAAGCAGUGAAAUAAUAUCUGUCAGAUGUGAAAACUGUCCAGAAUUAUGAGAUUUAGACAAUCGCUCUAGGUUUCCUGUUUUUCAAAGUCCAUCUUGAUAAGAUUUGGACUAGUUUUCAGAGGUGCUGAGUACCUACAGUCCCAGCGGCAGUGGGAGGGCUGGGCCUGCAGCUGUGUGUCUCUGGAGCAGGGAAGCCUCCGAACCUCUCCCGUUGGCCACCCAGGAAUGGAGGACCCAAAGGCGCAGGGAACUUCACACUGUGGUCAUGCUGGUUGAUAUGGGAGGCCUUUCUGUCUGUGUAGGCUUAAGUCUGUCAACAGUUUCACAUCCAGCAUGCUGUAAACUAUUAAAAAAAAAAAAAAAAAAAAAAAAAAAAAAAAAAGGAAAGAGUCCAUCAGGGAAUUUUAAGAGGGCAAUGCCAAGACUCUGUAGUCAUGGAUGUUUGUGCAAACAUGUAGUUCAAGGGACAUCUGUAGUGACUCCAGAAAAACACGCUGGGGAGUUGUGAUAAUUUCUAGCUGAAAAUUUUCCUUCCUGGUACAGUCCACCUGGCAGCUCACCUGCGGGGAGGCAAAGAGAGCAAUGGCUCCGGGGCCAUCGUGCCAGCUCUCAGCGCGGUGGAGACAUGGCCCUUGUGCUAGAGCUGGGGCGGGGGGAAUUUACUUUGUAGAAUGUUUGCUUUCUGUGCUUUUAUUUUUUUUUCCAGGAAGAGAUAGCUGAAUCUCAGAACUGAUGCACUCCAAAAUCUUAAAUGCUGGCACUGCUUAUUAGCUGCUCGCUCAGUGGAGAAUAUCCUUCCUUAUAUAGGCCUUUUUAGAAACUAGGUCAGAAGAUUUAUGUGAGUACAGGCUGCUAAAAUCCUCUCUGACAGCCUGCCUGCCUUUAUUAUUUUCUUGCCUUGCCCAUUACAGAAGCCAUCGUACCAGCGUCUGCGCUGAUUUCUCCUGGGGUGAGCUGGGAUGACCACAGCAGAUACCUUCAUCUCCUGCCACUGUGAACACCCUCCAGCCAGCGCUCAUCCUCGUGGCCUGUUCAGCAGGUCUGACCCCCCGCAGCAGUUGUCUCCCCAGAAAGGAGAUGCUGUUUUUCAAAGAAACAUGGUAGUGCCACAACAGCCUGGGCCUUCAGUUGAUUUAUCAGUGGAUGAACAUCUAAACGCCAGAUGCUCUCGGGUGCUAAAGGCUGAUGUACUCCAGAUAUGGUGCCUUUGCAGCAAGUACUGCGCUGAGAGGAGGGUUAAUGUCCAGCCAGGGUGUUAUGUGCUCAUCCAAUGCACCCCCUAAAAGCCCAUCAUCUCAAGCGGAGUUUCUAGGAAACAGUCCACUGCAAAUAAUAGCACUAAUAACAACAGAAGCCUUCUGUGAAGUGUUUGCACUGAAACAUAAAACCACACAGAAUAGUCUUGCUUUUAGACACUCCUGUGAACUCAGAAUGCACUGACGAUCGUUUGUGCUGAUGGGAUAUUUCUUGCUGUGUUGUUUGCGGGAGAUGGUAUCUUUCUGUGAUAUACAUAUGUCUACAUACAUAUAUCUAUACCCACACAUAUUCAUACAAUAGAAGUUAAGAUUUAAAAACAA